CCUACGGGCGGCUGCAGUCGAGGAUCUUCGGCAAUGGGCGCAAGCCUGACCGAGCGACGCCGCGUGUGCGAUGAAGGCCUUCGGGUUGUAAAGCACUGUCGAGGGGGAUAAAGCCGUAAGGUUGAUAGAUCCCUGGAGGAAGCACGGGCUAAGUUCGUGCCAGCAGCCGCGGUAAGACGAACCGUGCGAACGUUGUUCGGAAUCACUGGGCUUAAAGGGCGCGUAGGCGGGGUGGACAGUCUAUGGUGAAAUCCUCCGGCUCAACCGGAGAACUGCCGUGGAUACUGCCACUCUCGAGGGGUGUAGGGGCAUGCGGAACUUCCGGUGGAGCGGUGAAAUGCGUAGAUAUCGGAAGGAACGCCGGUGGCGAAAGCGGCGUGCUGGACACCUACUGACGCUGAGGCGCGAAAGCCAGGGGAGCAAACGGGAUUAGAUACCCUGGUAGUCCU
Molecule: ribosomal RNA, 449 nt
Filed under: uncultured Gemmataceae bacterium
Lineage: Bacteria; Pseudomonadati; Planctomycetota; Planctomycetia; Gemmatales; Gemmataceae
Description: bacterial SSU rRNA
Rfam family: Bacterial small subunit ribosomal RNA
Source: RNAcentral